GCUUAGUAGCUCAGUUGGUUGGAGCGCUACCCUAGAGUGUUAGUGACACAGGUUCAAACCCCAAUGCUUCUUAAGCU
This is a non-coding RNA of Mycena sp. CBHHK59/15, 77 nucleotides long. NCBI's taxonomy places the organism in Eukaryota, Fungi, Basidiomycota, Agaricomycetes, Agaricales, Mycenaceae. The record is from the annotation of a GenBank genome assembly.